RNAcentral lists this ribosomal RNA (725 nucleotides) under uncultured beta proteobacterium. Its description in RNAcentral is "bacterial SSU rRNA". It matches the Rfam family "Bacterial small subunit ribosomal RNA", at positions 8 to 730 of the family's 1533-position model. Lineage: Bacteria; Pseudomonadati; Pseudomonadota; Betaproteobacteria. The record is from RNAcentral.
AGAGUUUGAUCCUGGCUCAGAUUGAACGCUGGCGGCAUGCUUUACACAUGCAAGUCGAACGGCAGCGCGGGGCAACCUGGCGGCGAGUGGCGAACGGGUGAGUAAUAUAUCGGAACGUACCCAGAAGUGGGGGAUAACGUAGCGAAAGUUACGCUAACACCGCAUACGAUCUACGGAUGAAAGUGGGGGACCUUCGGGCCUCAUGCUUUUGGAGCGGCCGAUAUCUGAUUAGCUAGUAGGUAGGGUAAAGGCCUACCUAGGCGACGAUCAGUAGCUGGUCUGAGAGGACGACCAGCCACACUGGGACUGAGACACGGCCCAGACUCCUACGGGAGGCAGCAGUGGGGAAUUUUGGACAAUGGGCGCAAGCCUGAUCCAGCAAUGCCGCGUGAGUGAAGAAGGCCUUCGGGUUGUAAAGCUCUUUUGUCAGGGAAGAAACGGCCCGAGCUAAUAUCUUGGGCUAAUGACGGUACCUGAAGAAUAAGCACCGGCUAACUACGUGCCAGCAGCCGCGGUAAUACGUAGGGUGCAAGCGUUAAUCGGAAUUACUGGGCGUAAAGCGUGCGCAGGCGGUUUUGUAAGUCUGACGUGAAAGCCCCGGGCUCAACCUGGGAAUUGCCUUGGAGACUGCAAGGCUUGAAUCUGGCAGAGGGGGGUAGAAUUCCACGUGUAGCAGUGAAAUGCGUAGAGAUGUGGAGGAACACCGAUGGCGAAGGCAGCCCCCU